RNAcentral lists this ribosomal RNA (1357 nucleotides) under Halomonas sp. VKRKNi7. RNAcentral describes it as "16S ribosomal RNA". It matches the Rfam family "Bacterial small subunit ribosomal RNA". The record is from RNAcentral. Lineage: Bacteria; Pseudomonadati; Pseudomonadota; Gammaproteobacteria; Oceanospirillales; Halomonadaceae.
GGGUGAGUAAUGCAUAGGAUCUGCCGGUAGUGGGGGAUAACCUGGGGAAACCCAGGCUAAUACCGCAUACGUCCUACGGGAGAAAGGGGGCUCCGGCUCCCGCUAUUGGAUGAGCCUAUGUCGGAUUAGCUAGUUGUGAGGUAAUGGCUCACCAAGGCGACGAUCCGUAGCUGGUCUGAGAGGAGAUCAGCCACAUCGGACUGAGAACGGCCCGAACUCCUACGGGAGGCAGCAGUGGGGAAUAUUGGACAAUGGGCGAAACCUGAUCCAGCCAUGCCGCGUGUGUGAAGAAGGCCCUCGGUUGUAAAGCACUUUCGCGAGGAAGAACGCCUAGUGGUUAAUACCCACAGGAAGAAUCACUCGCAGAAGAAGCACCGGCUAACUCCGUGCCAGCAGCCGCGGUAAUACGGAGGGUGCAAGCGUUAAUCGGAAUUACUGGGCGUAAAGCGGCGUCGUGGCUUGAUAAGCCGUUGUGAAAGCCCGGCUCAACUGGGAACGGCAUCCGGAACUGUCAAGCUAGAGUGCAGGAGAGGAAGGUAGAAUUCCCGGUGUAGCGGUGAAAUGCGUAGAGAUGGGAGGAAUACAGUGGCGAAGGCGGCCUUCUGGACUGACACUGACACUGAGUGCGAAACGUGGGUAGCAAACAGGAUUAGAUACCCUGGUAGUCCACGCCGUAAACGAUGUCGACCAGCCGUGGGGCCUAGCGCACUUGUGGCGAGUUAACGCGAUAAGUCGACCGCCUGGGGAGUACGCCGCAAGGUUAAAACUCAAAUGAAUUGACGGGGGCCCGCACAAGCGGUGGAGCAUGUGGUUUAAUUCGAUGCAACGCAAGAACCUUACCUACUCUUGACUCUGCGACUUGUGAGAGACACUUGGUGCCUCGGGAACGCAGAGACAGGUGCUGCAUGGCUGUCGUCAGCUUGUUGUGAAAUGUUGGGUUAAGUCCCGUAACGAGCGCAACCCUUGUCCUUAUUUGCCAGCGCGUAAUGGCGGGACUCUAAGGAGACUGCCGGUGACAAACCGGAGGAAGGUGGGGACGACGUCAAGUCAUCAUGGCCCUUACGAGUAGGGCACACACGUGCUACAAGGUACAAAGGGUUGGAGCUCGCGAAGUCAGCUAAUCCCGAAAAGCCGGUCUCAGUCCGAUCGGAGUCUGCAACUCGACUCCGUGAAGUCGGAAUCGCUAGAAUCGUGAAUCAGAAUGUCACGGUGAUACGUUCCCGGGCCUUGUACACACCGCCCGUCACACCAUGGGAGUGGAUGCACCAGAAGUGGUUAGCUUAACCUUCGGGAAAGCGAUCACCCGGUGUGGUUCAUGCUGGGGUGAAGUCGUAACAAGGUAGCCGUAGGGGAACCU